AGGAGGUUAGUUCUCUAGGUGUUGGCUGGCUGGUUUCUUCUUUCUCCUCUCUUUGUCAUCUCCUUUUGGUCUUUUUACCUCUUUUUUUCAACAACAAAAUAAAAAAAAAACUGGUGAGGUUUUGAAAGACUCUUCCUCGUCUCCUUUUGGUCUUUUUACCUCUUUUUUCCAACAAAAUAUUCCAUUCCUCCCCCACCCUCUUUCAAAAUGGAGAAUCUAGGGUCUGGGUUUUAAUUUGAUUGCUAUGCUUUGGUGUGUCAAAAAAAGUGGGGAUAGCUCAGUUGGGAAAGCGUCAGGCUGAAGAACUGAAGGUCACGUGUUCGAUCUACGUUCACCGCAUUAGAUAAGAGGGGUUGCUCUGAUGGUAUGCAACUCCCACUUCCAACCGAGAGGUUGUGAGUUCGAGUUUCCCCAAGAGCAAGGAGGGAAGUUCUUGGAGGGAAGGAUGUCGGGGGUCUAUUUGGAAACAGCCUCUCUACCCAAAGGUAGGGGUAAGGUUUGCAUACAUACUGCCCUCCCCAGACAGUGGCGGAUCUACUCUUGCUAAGCACCCAUUAACCUCGACGCAGAGUAUAUAUAGUUAUAUAGAAAAUUUGAGAAAACGUAUAAAAAUUUACAAAAGCACCCAUUAAUUUUAUGUACAAAAAAAAUUCAGCACCACAAACUUGAAUUCCUAGAUCCGCCACUGUCACCAGACCCCACUAAGUGGGAUUAUACUGGGUUGUUGUUAUUGUUGUUGUUGUUGCUUUGGUGUGUCAGCUUUAAUUGUUAGGUCCUCUGUUCCACUGACCUCUCUGCUUUAGACAGUUCAAUCUGGG
RNAcentral lists this long non-coding RNA (818 nucleotides) under Nicotiana benthamiana. RNAcentral describes it as "long non-coding RNA (NBEN_LNC013373)". The stretch from base 267 to 339 matches the Rfam family "tRNA". Lineage: Eukaryota; Viridiplantae; Streptophyta; Magnoliopsida; Solanales; Solanaceae. The record is from RNAcentral.